GACGAACGCUGGCGGCGUGCCUAAUACAUGCAAGUCGAACGCAUUUUCUUUCACCGUAGCUUGCUACACCGAAAGAAAAUGAGUGGCGAACGGGUGAGUAACACGUGGGUAACCUGCCCAUCAGCGGGGGAUAACACUUGGAAACAGGUGCUAAUACCGCAUAAUUCCAUUUACUGCAUGGUAGAUGGAUGAAAGGCGCUUUUGCGUCACUUAUGGAUGGACCCGCGGUGCAUUAGCUAGUUGGUGGGGUAACGGCCUACCAAGGCUGCGAUGCAUAGCCGCACUGAGAGGGUGAUCGGCCACACUGGGACUGAGACACGGCCCAGACGCCUACGGGAGGCAGCAGUAGGGAAUCUUCGGCAAUGGACGCAAGUCUGACCGAGAAACGCCGCGUGAGUGAAGAAGGUUUUCGGAUCGUAAAACUCUGUUGUUAGAAAAGAGCAAGGAUGAGAGUGGAAAGUUCAUCCCUUGACGGUAUCUAACCAGAAAGCCACGGCUAACUACGUG
This 507-nucleotide ribosomal RNA is filed under the name uncultured bacterium. RNAcentral describes it as "partial 16S ribosomal RNA". It matches the Rfam family "Bacterial small subunit ribosomal RNA", at positions 28 to 507 of the family's 1533-position model. The record is from RNAcentral.